Molecule: long non-coding RNA, 1720 nt
Organism: Triticum dicoccoides
Lineage: Eukaryota; Viridiplantae; Streptophyta; Magnoliopsida; Poales; Poaceae
Exons: 9
Source: RefSeq, a predicted model, not a curated record
CCCCGAGCCCCUCGCUCGUCCCUCCCUCCCUCGUCCUCACCCGCCGCCGCUCCCUAACCCUAGCCCCAAUCCACAGCCCCGCGCCCCUCGCUCCUCCCUCCCUCGUCCGCGCCCCUCGCUCAUCUCUCCUUCGUCCGCCGCCACUCCCUCCCACCUCCUCCUCCUGCGCCCUAGGAGCCCCGCCGCUAACUGCUACUCCUCCACCGCCUCGCCUCUUCCUCCUCCUCGCCUUCCCAUCGCUCAUGCGCAGGUCGCCCGACGGCAGGGAUGGUCAGGAAGGCUUCCCAGCCCGACUGUGCCGUCAUGGGAGCUGCAGGGAGGAGCAGGAGGAGCAGAAGGGGCCACGGAUGAGGAGGAAGGAGACUAGCAGGAGUAGGAGGAGAUAUUCUUGUUCGAUUUGGUUCUCAUGCUGGCAUCUCCCUGCUGUCUGCUUUCCUUUUGGUUUCCAACUUUGAUGCCUGGAUUUGUUGUCUUGGCCAGCAGGAGUGGGAGGAGACAGGGAGGAUGAGGAAGGAGACAAGCAGGAGGAAGAGAAAAUCUUGCUCGCCUUAUGGACUCGCAAUAAACAGGUCCACAGGAAAAAUUCCUGAACGAUUUUGGUAUCCCCGGAUUUUUCUUCCCCGCGAUGAGAGAUUAGCGAGGAUUUGUGCGGCAGGGAGGGGGCUGGUGAUAGGAAACAUGGGUCCAAGAAGAAAUCAAAGAGCAUGAUCGUUUCUAGGUCGCUGGUGCUGAAUCAUGUAAGGAUGGCGCAGAACUCACAUGAGGGAAAAGACCGAACUGCGGUAACCAAAUCAACAGCUGAUAAGGCAAUUGGUUGGGCUACAUGAUAGACACUUUAAUAUAUCUUCUUGGAAGCCGCUUAGUGUUCCAAUGAAUAAUUGUCGCUGGUGUGAUGCACGCCUUCAUUGUUUGGUGGGCUGCUUCCUGCCUGGUGUGGUUGAAGAAUUUUCAGAGAUGUAUGUACCAUGAUGAUUGAGGAGGCGUAUGAAAUAAAUCUGAAGAAAUAAGUCGCCUCCAUCAGCGAGGCUGCGAACAACUCUUGGUGCCCCUGUUAACCUCCUCAAUGUGUGCGUUGUUUGCCUGUCGGUCAAAUGCUCACUAUUCAGCAGACAGAUACAGUGUCCAGAUCGUUUAGGAACCAGCAUUACUUCAAAAAAAUAUAGGACCUGAUACACAUUACAUUCAUGGACUACUGAUAUACCUGAUGCAUUUCUUCAUGAUGGAAGCGGAUGCUAUCAAGAUCAUGCCAAAGGCGAUGCUCAUUCCCGUUCUUAGUGAGAUGGGUUUACUUGAUGCAAAGUAUGAGCAUUGCAGACUCUGGCGAGCUGCUGAAGGUCGACGAGGAGGGCGCCGCCGCCACUGUCAUCAGGCUGGUCCACAUCCACGCGCUGCUCGGCGUCACCAGGUCACCGGCACAACUCCGCACGCCCAGGCCGUUCAACAUUUUCUUUCGCUUUUGGUGCGUCACAUUUAGAGUCUUUCUUUCCCAUUUUACCGUGUUUGCAUGGUAAGAUGUUCUGUUAGAUUUUAAGGUUCAUAGCCUUGGCUCCAAAGCUUCAAGCUUUUGCAUAAUAGUGUUGUUCAGUGGGAUGCAGAAUUUUUGUUUGUCUGAUCGGCUAUCUUUGGUGCUGAUUUACUACAAUAAAGAUGUUGUCUGUAUAAAUAUUACUAACUGUUGAUACUUUGCAUCAGUGAUUUCAUUUCUGUUGGCCCUCCUUAA